This 1073-nucleotide long non-coding RNA is filed under the name Pogona vitticeps (central bearded dragon). RNAcentral describes it as "lncRNA (ENSPVIG00000023704.1)". Lineage: Eukaryota; Metazoa; Chordata; Lepidosauria; Squamata; Agamidae. The record is from RNAcentral.
AGGAUGCACAGUAUUCUGUAAGAUGGUUAUCACAGGGAGUGGAGCUCAGAUCAUCUCCUGGGGGCUGACACGUCCCAGGGUGUUCAGAAGCCCUCUUUGUGCCGUGUUGCUUUAAUUCUCCAUGCUGUCUCUUGAUGUGUAUUUGGUUAUCUAGUCUCUCUCUCUCUCUCUCUCUCUCUUUGCUGGAAUGCCUCUCUGUGUUAAAAUGCUUUUAUGCAGCUUCUGAAGACACUGCAGUACUGCUUUUGUUAACAUGAUAUAACUCCACUGGAAUGAACACACACACACACACACACACACACACACACAGAGCACGCAUGCGCAACCCACAUCCCCAUCAGGAAUUAUCAGAGAGUCUCGCCCGAAGCUGUGAAAAGCUAAAUCCACCCAUCCACAUUCAAAAGAGCAAAACUGUCAACAGGAAGAUUUUAUAUUUAAAAACUAUCAGCAGCGCUUCGUCCAAAUGCUGUACUGAUGUCCUUGCAACUGGAAGGAUAAGAAGAAACGGAUAGUCCUUUGGAUCUGUUCCUGUUUGAGGAUGGAAAGAAUAUAUGUGGAUGCUGGACAUAGCAAUCGGAUGAGCGUGACCUGGGAAGAGCAGAACAGAAGAUCUACCCCACCAUCCCAAACCAAGAGACAAUAUUCUCCAACUCCUUCUGCCCUUCUUAUCUGUCCCUUCUCUUUUCCUUCCUUUUGGGGGUGUAGCUAAGCACUGUUAAAGCUUUCAUUGUACGAAACAAGUGAGGCAUCAAGUUUAAUAUUAUUAAGGAUGCAAUUACUGCUUUCUCAAGUCUCACCUGUUAUUUUAGCUCAACGGUUUAUAUAUCGAUACUGGCCCUUCGUGUAAAGGCAACUUUCUCGGUCUGCUGUUUCAUACUGAGUGUCUUUCCGUUGGCAUUUCCUGUUCUGCACCUGUCUGUGUAAUGCACUGGUUUGGAAUGCCAUGUCAGGACUAGAUAGGUCUGCGUUCAAAUCCCUCUCGCCCAUGAAAGUCACAAGGUGAUCUUGGGCUGGCCCUGAUGUGGAGUUGAGGAAGGAUGGAAAUAAAACGCAGGUUCUUGAACUGGAAGCCA